GAGGACUUAGCUUAAUUAAAGUGGUUGGNUUGCAUUCAGCUGAUGUAAGAUAUAGUCUUGCAGUCCUUG
This 69-nucleotide transfer RNA is filed under the name Hippotragus niger variani. Its description in RNAcentral is "tRNA-Ala". It matches the Rfam family "tRNA". Rfam says of the family: Transfer RNA (tRNA) molecules are approximately 80 nucleotides in length. Lineage: Eukaryota; Metazoa; Chordata; Mammalia; Artiodactyla; Bovidae. The record is from RNAcentral.